UCGGUUAAACAUAAAUAAUAUAUACAAAUUAAAUACACCCCUAUUCUGCCAUUUAUUAUAUUAUUUAUUUUAUGACUAGAGAUAAAACCUCUCGUAUCAUGCCGUUUUGAUUGGUUAGAAUUUAAAAUAUACUGUCAGUAUGCUCCAAUUUAUAGGGUAGGCAGGCUCCCAGAGUGGGUGUGAGGCCUUUAGUUCGGUCUGGGUCUUCUGCUCGGCGCAGUCGGUAGCUGAGAGUCGAGUUGCUUGGGAUCGCAGCUCAAAGUGGGUGGUAAGCUCCAUCUAAGGCUAAAUACUUGCACGAGUCCGAUAGCGAACAAGUACCGUGAGGGAAAGUUGAAAAUAACUUUGAAGAGAGAGUUCAAGAGACCGUGAAAGCGCCUACGGGCAAACGGGUGGAACCGCCGGUGCGAUCAGCGGAAUCCAGCCCGCCGGGCAGGCGGCUCCUGGUGGCGAUUGCAGACUUGUCCUUCUCGGAGGACGGGCUCGUCUUUCUCAAUCAAUAGUCGAUUAUAAUUAUUAGAAGGUGGCUAACGCUUGUCACGACCAUCUCCGCUUCAGACGAUUUUCUAAAAUUUACCGUAAUGAAUCAUGAUCCAAACCUUAUAUGAAUCGUUUCAAUGAAUAUUUUCCCUUCACUCAAGACCUAUUUUAUAUCUCCCUCAGUGUUCCUCUGCAUGCUAAUCUUACUAUUGUUCAAUAAAAAAACUAAAAAAAAUUACGCCCCUCGUUUCAAU
This 734-nucleotide non-coding RNA is filed under the name Lottia gigantea (owl limpet). RNAcentral's name for it is "eukaryotic large subunit ribosomal RNA". It matches the Rfam family "Eukaryotic large subunit ribosomal RNA", at positions 1 to 614 of the family's 3401-position model. Lineage: Eukaryota; Metazoa; Mollusca; Gastropoda; Lottiidae. The record is from Rfam by way of RNAcentral.